GUUACGCGAAGUUUAAAUUAGAUUGAAUUUCAGUUCGUCUGUCAGUAUCGCACGCACUGAGUGAGAAAAAUUUUCUUCCCUUUUUACAAACUGAGAUUUUACUACUCCUCAAGGAGCUCGCAGGAUUGCAAAAAGUUCACCCGUCUAAAUUCACACGCGUUGCUUGGAUCCAUUGGUCAUUAGCGAAAGAGGAGGGGCUACGUAGGAAAUAAAAAUACCCUCUCUGUUAUUUACCUUCAACAUUUCUGGAGUUAACUUUGCCUGUAUCAGAAGUGGUUUUAAAAGCGUUGGAGAGAACUUGAAAGGAUCAACAUGGGUAACGUGUCUGUUCUCACAAUCGCGUGGCUGUUGCUGUUGUCGAUGAGUUGGGAAGUGAUCUCAGCUGGGUCAGAUUGUACUAUCCAAACCAAUGGAUGCAGUGUCCCGCUUGGCUUAAAGGCUCCCUAUCAAACCAUCCUCACUCCGGCUUGCGUCAAACACGAUGUCUGCUAUUACUGCGGUGAACUCUACCGAUGGAAUCAGGAGCAAUGUGACAAGGCCUUUAAACGCGACAUGUACAAACUGUGCGAAAGAAAGGGAAAACGUUGGUUCAUUGGAGAUCUGCUGACCAAAGAAAAAAGGUGUAAGAGUUUGGGAGCGGAUGCCUACUACACUGCUGUUAGAAUCGCUGGUCAUCUACAUUGGGAGAAAAAUUCGCCUCCGUGGUGUCAGAAAGCAUGCGCCAAAGAUCUCGGAGAUCCUAAUAUCCUAAUAAGGCACUAAAUAUAUAAGAAUAUGCAGUUAGAUUAGAAAGGAAAGCUGUGGCGAUGUGUUGUACUAGAACGCGUAGAAAACUCGGACCAAUUGUGGGAAAUAAAGUAUCAGGUUAUCAGUGAA
This 876-nucleotide long non-coding RNA is filed under the name Stylophora pistillata. RNAcentral describes it as "uncharacterized LOC111343750, transcript variant X2". Lineage: Eukaryota; Metazoa; Cnidaria; Anthozoa; Scleractinia; Pocilloporidae. The record is from RNAcentral.